UACGUAGGGGGCAAGCGUUGUCCGGAAUUAUUGGGCGUAAAGCGCGCGCAGGCGGUCAUUUAAGUCUGGUGUUUAAGCCCGGGGCUCAACCCCGGUUCGCAUCGGAAACUGGAUGACUUGAGUGUAGGAGAGGAAAGUGGAAUUCCACGUGUAGCGGUGAAAUGCGUAGAGAUCUGGAAGAACACCAAAGGCGAAGGCAGCAUCCUGGGAAGUUCCUGACGCUCGGGUGCGAAAGCCAGGGGAGCGAACGGG
This 252-nucleotide ribosomal RNA is filed under the name uncultured bacterium. RNAcentral's name for it is "partial 16S ribosomal RNA". It matches the Rfam family "Bacterial small subunit ribosomal RNA", at positions 524 to 776 of the family's 1533-position model. The record is from RNAcentral.